RNAcentral lists this ribosomal RNA (403 nucleotides) under Bacteroidota bacterium. RNAcentral's name for it is "Bacteroidetes bacterium partial 16S ribosomal RNA". It matches the Rfam family "Bacterial small subunit ribosomal RNA", at positions 355 to 776 of the family's 1533-position model. The record is from RNAcentral. Lineage: Bacteria; Pseudomonadati; Bacteroidota.
UGGGGAAUAUUGCACAAUGGAGGGAACUCUGAUGCAGCGACGCCGCGUGAACGAAGAAGGCUUUCGAAUCGUAAAGUUCUUUUAUAUGGGAAGAUAAUGACGGUACCAUAAGAAAAAGCCCCGGCUAACUACGUGCCAGCAGCCGCGGAAAUACGUAGGGGGCUAGCGUUGUCCGGAAUCACUGGGCGUAAAGGGUUCGCAGGCGGAAAUGCAAGUCAGGUGUAAAAGGCAGUAGCUUAACUACUGUAAGCAUUUGAAACUGCAUAUCUUGAGAAGAGUAGAUGUAAGUUGAAUUUAUAGUGUAUCGGUGAAAUGCAUAGAUAUUAAAAAGAAUACCGGUUGCGAAGGCGACUUACUGGGCUCAUUCUGACGCUGAGGAACGAAAGCGUGGGUAGCAAACAGG